GACGAACGCUGGCGGCGUGCUUAACACAUGCAAGUCGAACGGUAAGGCCCUUCGGGGUACACGAGUGGCGAACGGGUGAGUAAUACGUAGGUGAUCUGCCCUGCACUUCGGGAUAAGCCUGGGAAACUGGGUCUAAUACCGGAUAGGACCCUGGGAUGCAUGUCCUGGGGUGGAAAGCUUUUGCGGUGUGGGAUGGGCCCGCGGCCUAUCAGCUUGUUGGUGGGGUGAUGGCCUACCAAGGCGACGACGGGUAGCCGGCCUGAGAGGGUGACCGGGCACACUGGGACUGAGAUACGGCCCAGACUCCUACGGGAGGCAGCAGUGGGGAAUAUUGCACAAUGGGCGCAAGCCUGAUGCAGCGACGCCGCGUGAGGGAUGACGGCCUUCGGGUUGUAAACCUCUUUCAGCACCGACGAAGCGCAAGUGACGGUAGGUGCAGAAGAAGGACCGGCCAACUACGUGCCAGCCGCCGCCGUAA
This 478-nucleotide ribosomal RNA is filed under the name uncultured bacterium. Its description in RNAcentral is "partial 16S ribosomal RNA". It matches the Rfam family "Bacterial small subunit ribosomal RNA", at positions 28 to 523 of the family's 1533-position model. The record is from RNAcentral.